RNAcentral lists this long non-coding RNA (946 nucleotides) under Salmo trutta (river trout). RNAcentral's name for it is "lncRNA (ENSSTUG00000035531.1)". The record is from RNAcentral. Lineage: Eukaryota; Metazoa; Chordata; Actinopteri; Salmoniformes; Salmonidae.
GAGAGCGAGUCAGAGGUGAGACCAGAGCUACAACAUGUGUUGUUCCUGCUCUGUUAGAGGCUGGCUGCUUUUCUUCACAAUCCUACAACUGAUUGGUGGCAUGACUUUCAUUGUCACCCCUUGGAAGUAUUACAGGAGUAGUGAAAAUGACCUAGAUGAACGUCUGUCUCCAGUCUGAUGGACUAUCUUCACAGCAGGUGUGGUCUCCAUUAUCCUUGGCAUCACGGGUCUGCAUGGAGCUCGUAAGAAGAACAAGAACUUCCUGAUAAUGGUACGUUCAGUUCUUAAAGGAGCAAUCUGGGAUUCAAACAUUGCCAUCAUCCUGCUGCUAUUUUGUAAACCGCUGAGGGAUGGGGCUUGAAAAAUGUAACCACACCCAAACCCUAAGAUGGUUGAACUAAGCUCCUGAGGCCUUUAUAAAUUAUAUUCUUCAAUAAUAAAUAGCUACAUAUUGUUAAUUUAAAAGUCCAAUAACCGAUGGAUCAAUCCCAGAUUUCCCCUUUAUUAAAGCCAAAAUCUCAUUAGUAAUGUCAACAAAUGAAAUACUUUAUUAUUUGACCCGUUUAACUAAGACCAAGUCAUGUAUAUCAAGGUGUACAGUGUACUGCCCAAAAUAUAUAAUGUUUAUUAUUUACUUUAUUCAUUGGGUGAUGUAGUAUUCAGUUGGAUCUUGUCUUCGGACUGUGGUUUCUGGCCUACUACCUUCCACCACAAUUAGGACAGAAUUACAAGUUCAUGUCCAUAAAAAUGUAAUUAAACUAAUAUUUAAAAACAUUGGUAUUUAUUGAAUUCUGUGUCCAAUCCCCCCCCCCCCAAAAAAAAAUCUCCAGCUUCCAAAUAUGAUGAAAGCCUGGUAUGAAGAGUACAUCCCAUUGCACACAAAUGGAAGAGAUUUGGUACCAGGACUGACGGUACUGCAAACCAUUAAGUUAUUUUCUAACAGGAU